This 205-nucleotide ribosomal RNA is filed under the name uncultured bacterium. Its description in RNAcentral is "partial 16S ribosomal RNA". It matches the Rfam family "Bacterial small subunit ribosomal RNA", at positions 524 to 728 of the family's 1533-position model. The record is from RNAcentral.
UACGUAGGGGGCAAGCGUUGUCCGGAAUUAUUGGGCGUAAAGAGCGCGUAGGCGGUCCGAUAAGUCGGCUGUGAAAGUCAGGGGCUCAACCCUUGAAAGCCGGCCGAUACUGUCGGACUAGAGUCCGGAAGAGGCAAGUGGAAUUCCCGGUGUAGCGGUGAAAUGCGCAGAUAUCGGGAGGAACACCAAUGGCGAAGGCAGCUUG